This 19470-nucleotide long non-coding RNA is filed under the name Nicotiana tabacum (common tobacco). RNAcentral describes it as "long non-coding RNA (NTAB_LNC001107)". The record is from RNAcentral. Lineage: Eukaryota; Viridiplantae; Streptophyta; Magnoliopsida; Solanales; Solanaceae.
UUCAUGUGACUGAACCCCAGAGAGAGGCUACCUACGUAUCCUUUCGGAAUCAAGUCGAACAUAGUUCAGGAAACUUUGUUUUUUAUUUUCUUUUUGUUUUGGUUGUUGUUUUUUUUACUUAACAUUUUCGGGUUCCAAAGAGGGUAAUCAAAGAAAGUUAACCGGCUCGAAGGGUUUGCAAAGGGUUAACAGUGUUUAGGUAACGGGAAUAAAAGCCUUCGUCAUCCCAAUCGGAGAAUAUUAGCACCGCAGAAGGGUUAAACGUAAUACUUUUUUACUGCGUCCGCAUUGACAGUUGUUUCGGAGUCAUUUCCUUUGAUGUCUCCCAAGUACAAUGCCCCUUUUGGCAACAAUUUUCUUGUAAUGUACGGACCCUUCCAGUUUGGAGCGAACUUUCCUUUUGCUUACUUGUGAUACGGGAGAAUACGCCUCAAAACGAGUUGCCCUACUUCAAAGUUCCUAGGCCGCACUUUCUUGUUGUAGGCACAGGCCAUUCUUUCUCGAUACAAUUGCUCGUGGCAAAUUGUGGCAAUCCGAUUUUCAUCAAUCAGGGUUAACUGUUCUAGACGGGUCUUGACCCAUUCAUUGUCGUCAAUCUCAGCUUCAACGAUGAUUCGAAGAGAUGGAAUUUCAACUUCUGCGGGUAUUACGACUUCAGUUCCAUAAACCAAUAGAUAGGGUGUUGCCCCAACUGAUGUGCGUGCAGUGGUGCGAUAUCCCAACAAUGCAAAAGGAAACUUUUCAUGCCAUUUUCUAGAACUUUGAAUCAUUUUCCUGAGGAUCUUCUCGAUAUUUUUGUUUGCUGCUUCAACAGCACCAUUUGCUUUGGGCCGAUAAGGGGUAGAAUUCCGGUGCGUGAUCUUAAAUUGUUUGCAUACAUCCCUCACCAAAGGACUGUUCAAAUUUGCAGCAUUGUUCGUAAUGAUAGUUUUAGGAAUACCAAAAUGAUAGAUAAUGUUGGAAUGCACGAAGUCCACCACUGCUUUCUUGGUUAUGUCUUUGAGAGUGAAUGCUUCAACCCACUUUGUGAAAUAGUCAAUGGCGACUAAAAUGAAUUUGUGCCCAUUUGAAGCUUUCAGCUCGAUUGGCCCAAUGAACUCAUACCCCAAGCAACAAACGGCCACGGUGCCGACACAAGAUACAGUUCUGAAGGCGGUGCAUGAAUCAGGUCACCGUGUACCUGACACUGAUAACACUUUUCGACAAAACUGAAGCAAUCUUUUUUUAUGGUCAGCCAGUAAUUACCUACCCGAAGGAUUUUCUUUGCAAGGACGUAUCCAUUCAUAUGGGGUCCACACACUCCUGCGUGCACUUCAUUCAUGAUUCUUCCAGCCUCCUAGGUAUCCACGCACCUUAAAAGGUUCAGAUCUGGAAUCCUUUUAUACAAAACUUCUCCGCUCAAGAAGAAACCACUGGCGAGCCUUCUAAUGGUUCUCUUUUGGUCUCCACUGGCCUGCUCGGGAUAUUCUUUUGUUUUCAAAAAUCUUUUGAUAUAAUGAUACCAUGGCUAAAUAUCUGGUUCCAUCUCAACUGUAUUGCAAUAACCAUAUCUUUCUCGGAUUUGGAUUUCCAGUGGGUCAAUGUGGACAUUGCUCGGAUUCAGCAGCAUCGAGGCCAAAAUAGCUAACAUGUCAGCUAACUCAUUGUGGAAUCGAGGGAUGUACCUAAAUUCAACAAAAUUGAACCAUUUGCUAAGCUCUUCAACAUGUUGCAUGUAUGGGAUAAGCUUGAUAUCCUGAGUUUCCCAUUCACCUUGAGCUUGCCAAAUAAUCAAGCCAGAAUCUCCCACGAUUAACAAUUCUUCCACAUCCAUGUCAACUACCAUAUUCAUACCCAUAAUGCAGGCUUCUUACUCAGUAGUGUUUUUUGUACAAAAAGAACCGAAGCUGGGCAGUGGCCGGACAGUGCUGACCACUUGGUGAAAUCAAAAUUUCCUCAAUCCCGACACCUUUUGCAUUUACAGCUCCGUCGAAGAACAUUUUCCAAGCGUUGGUGUCUUCUGGAAUUACCUCAACUGAAUUUACUUCCUUGUCCGAAAAGUAAGUACUCAAAGGCUGAUAUUCAUCAUCAAUAGGAUUUUCAGUUAGGUGAUCAGCCAAGGCUUGAGCUUUCAUUGUCGUGCGGGUGACAUAGACUAUGUCAAACUUGGUGAGCAGGAUUUGCCAUUUUGCUAAACUCCCUGUGGGCAUCGGCUUUUGGAAUAUGUACUUCAAAGGAUCCAAUCUGGUUAUGAGAUAGGUGGUAUUAACCAACAAGAAAUUCCUAAGCUUCUGAGCGACCCAAGUUAAGGCGCAACAAGUUCUUUCCAACAAAGUGUACUUGGCAUCAUAACUAGUGAACUUCAUGCUCAAAAAGUAUAUGGCUUGUUGUUUCUUCACGGUCACAUCAUGUUGCCCGAGAACAUAUCCAAAAGAAUUCUCCAACACUGUCAAGUACAAGAACAAAGGCCUUCCAGGCUUGGGUGGAAGAAACACUGGCGGAUUCAAUAGAUAUUCUUUGAUUUUGUCGAAAGCUUCUUGACACUCCUCUGUCCAUCUAAUUGCCGCAUAUUUUUUCAACAGCUUAAAUAUGGGCUCACAUAUUGAAGUCAACUAAGCAAUGAAUCUGCUGAUCUAAUUCAACCUUCCAAUAGACUCAUAACCUUUUUCUUGGUUCUCAGAGGUGCAAAUCCUGAAUAGACUUUAUCUUUGUUGGAUCUAACUCGAUGCCACUCCGCCUUACUAUAAACUCCAAAAGUUUCCCAGAUGGUACUCCAAAUGCACACUUAGCUGGAUUUAGCUUCAAGUCAUACUUACGCAGGUGCUCAAAGAACUUUUGCAAAUCUUGCACAUGGUCAUCCUAUGUUCUUGAUUUAAUGAUCACAUCAUCCACAUACACCUCAAUUUUCUGGUGCAUCAUGUCAUGAAAAAUGGCUAUCAUAGCUCUCAUGUAAGUUGCCCCGGCAUUUUUUAAACCGAACGGCAUUACCCUAUAACAGUAACUACCCCAAGGUAUGGUGAAAACUAUCUUUUUUGCGUCUUCUUUAUCCAUCAAAACCUGAUGAUAACCGGAAUAAUAAUCCACGAAAGGUUGUAUCUCAUGUUUGGUACAAUUUUCAACAAGGAUGUGGAUGUUUGGUAAUGGAAAGUUAUCCUUGGGGCUUGCUUUAUUCAAAUCUCGAUAAUCAACACACACUUGGGUUUUACCAUCUUUCUUUGGAACCGAGACCACAUUAGCCAACCAUGUGUUGUAUCGGACACUCGGAUCACAUCCGCUUUCAACUGUUUGGUGACUUCUUCUUUGAUCUUGUCACUGAUGUAUAUUUUAAACUUUCUUUGUUUUUUUUGGAUGGGGGGAUAACCGGGGUAAGUUGGCAAUUUGUGCACCACUAAAUCAACACUCAGUCCUGGCUUAUCAUCACAGGACCAGGCAAACACGUCCUUGAAUUCGAACAAAAUUUGGAUCAAUGCAUCUCUAGUUCUUUCAUCAGCGUGAAUACUUAUCAUGGUUUCCUGGAUCUCUUCCGGACUACCCAAAUUAAUUGGCUCGGUUUCAUUUAAGUUUGGCUUAGGCUUAUUCUCAAAUUGUUCCAGUUCUCGAUUUAUUUCUCUAAAAGCCUCAUCUUCAUCAUAUUCCGGUUCUUGACUCAUUAUUUCACAGUUAAACAGUGUAUUAAGAUCUGGGCAUGAAGUCUAUAAGCAUAUCAUGUUAUUUAAGUCUACAUUAUUAGAACUGAAAAGAGAGAUAAGAGAAAAUAACAACAAUCAGAAAGAAUAAAGAAAGAGAUUCAUAGACGAUGAAUUAUUGAUUUCAUUUCAUUGAAUUUGAAGAUAAAAGGGUUUACAUCGGAAUUUAAAAGAUAAUAAACUAAAAACAUUCGAGUUACACCCUGAAAUAACUUGGAAUGCAGAAAAGAUGGCAUGAUUGAACUACCGGGAUUCCCGCCUGACUGGGAACGGAGUAGCCUUCCAAUUUUGAAGCUUGGAAUUGGGCCCAUAUAUUGCACAUCAGCAGUGCUUGAGCCUUCACCCGGCUGGACCAUAUGAGCCUCAUAUAACAUUUGUGUCAUUGCUCCACAGAUAUCUUCGAUUUCUUCAGUCGUAAAGGCCUCUUCUUCUUUUUCUAUGUACAUUGGCUUAACAAAUGUUCUGGCGAGAAGCGGGACCGGCUGAGGCAGAACCCACCCAUUGUUCUUACGUUUAUUAGCCCAUUUUACGUCGACUUCUGUACCUCAGAAACCGAUACCAAAGAAGUUUUCACUCGCAGUCAAAGUGAUAUGCUCUGUAAUGCCUUGCAAAGAUGCCCCGAGCCCUUUUCCGGGCUUGUAGCCAUGUUUGAUCAUUUCACUAGCGACCAUGUUUUAUGCGUUUGACAAGAAGGGUUGAGGAUACAGGGUUCCUUCCUCACAGUGGUCAACGACAACGAUUUCGAAAGCUUGGUAGACUAUGUGCUCGCUACCUUCCUUAGCCUCCAGACAUGGGAUUGACGAGUCCUUGUAAAUUGAUUGCUCAUCUUCUCCGUGGACCAUUUGGUGGAGAGUAGAGGGUACGACUCCCGCAGCAUGGAUCCAAGGCCUUCCUAGGAGAAAAUUGUAGGAGCUGUCAAUGUCCAAAACCUAAAAUGUUACUUCAAAAUCCAUAAGGCCGAUGGUUAGGAUUAAAUCAAUCUCCCAUAUCGUGUCCCUCUUGAUGCCGUCAGAAGCACGUACGCAAACAUUGUUGGGCCUAAUCCUUUCAGUCCCAAUAUCCAUUCUCUAUAAGGUCGAGAGAGGGCAGAUAUCAACCCCAGAUCCGCCAUCAAACAUAACUCUUUUCACGUAGUAUCCUUCACACUUAACGGUCAAAUGAAGAGCAUUGUUGUGGGCAGCCCCAUCUAGAAGCAAAUCAUUUUGGCUGAAUGAGAUCCAGUUGACUUCAAAAAAUCAUUCUGUCAUUCAUUCCAAUUGCUCAACUGUGGUCUCGACCGGAACAUAUACCUCAUUAAUCGUCUUUAACAGGACUUUUUGAUGCUCAUUCAAACUUAUCAGCAGGGACAAAAGUGAGACCUGAGAGAGGGACUUUAUGAGUUGAUCACUCAUGACGUAGUCAGAAGUUUUCAUCUUUCGGAAUAAUUCCUUUACCUCUUCAACACUAACUGGCUUUUUAAGUGGAAAACGCUUCUGUUUGGUCUUGUUCAAUUCUUCUAUGUUGAGGUACUUCCCAGACGGGUUCGUUUCAUUCAAUUCUCCCAUGAUUUCUUUUCCCUUCUACGUUACCACUACUUUAUUGUAGUUCUAGGGGACGACAAUAGGGUCCUUCAUGGGAUUCUGUGGUGCGUGGCUGAUAACCACGGGCUCAGUCAGCUUGGGUGAAAUUAUCGGCCCCCGCGCCAUAUAAGUCCUUUUUGGUAUGUACAUUUUUGGUACCUUCAGUGUAGCCUUGUUUUGCUCAAACCUUUUGGGACUCAACACGAACUAUUCUUUUCUAUUGGCCCUGGGAACAUAAAUAACGACAUCUAUAGGAGGUACUGCCCCUGUCUUGGCUUCCACAGCCUUUUCUAUGCUUUGUGGAGUGGAGUUGCUCUUCUUCUCAUCUUUAGAUUGGUUUGCUGCCGCUUUGGGCUUCUUUUCAACAUCGGCAAUAGCAAUGAUAACUUUCAAUGCCGGGUCGAAUUCUCCGUCCUCACAAAUCAUCCCAAUAACUAGCCCAUUGUUGUGAGCUGGCAAUAGGUUAUUAGUUACAUUGGGGACCUCCUCAUUCCUCAACACUACUCAUUUUUGCUCUAUUAGAUUUUUGACCGCCCAUUUAAGGGUGCAACAAUCCUUAGUGUCGUGCCCUGCUUCCCCUGAAUGAUAAGCACAUCAGGUACCGGGUCGGUAGGAGGGUGACUCUAGAUUUUUCCUGUUUGGAGCUGCGGGCUUCAACAAACCCAUUUAGACCAACUUUGGGAAUAGGCUGGAAUAUGAUUCACAGAUGGGUGUUAAGUUGGUCUUUUUGGGUAAUUCACGGGCACAUGCGUUAUAUGGAAAAUUAUUCUGUGGCGGACGGGGAUUAUAUGGAGCUUGGUGAGGAGGGUUAUUUCUGGGAGGUGGAGCUCGGUUCUGGUUAUAGUAUUGUUGUGGCCAAGCGUAUGGCUGGGCGUUCAUCACCGAAUAAGGCUAAUGAGUCAUGGAAUAUGCCGCAUCUUGGUGGGGAUAGUAAUAUUGUGGGGUGCUGAAAUAGGAAUCAAUGUAACAUCGGGGUUGACGGGCGUUUCUCAAACUUGAGGCCAUCAUUGCUUCUUCUUCUUCUUCUUCUUUCUUUUUCAGGUUUGUUGCACCUCCGACCCGCUCUGGAUUGCUUGAGAGGUGGCUCUUAUAGCCGACUGGCUCAGGAUGCGACCCAUUUUCAAACCAUUCUCUGCCAUUUCCCCAAUCUUUAUGGCUUCUGCAAACAGCUUGCCUAUAGCGAACAUCAUGUUCUGGAAGUAAUUAGCCUCUUGGGCUUGCAAGAAGACACUGACCAUCUCAGCCUGAUCCAUUGGGGGUUUCACCCUGGCAGCUUGUUCAUGCCACUUGAUGGCAUACUCUCGGAAGCUCUCUGAAGACUUCUUCUUGAAAAUGGACAGAGAGUUUCUAUCUGGAGCUAUGUCCACGUUGUACUGGAACUGUCUGACAAAGUCUCAGGACAAGUCAUCCCAUAUGUGCCAGUGGGAGAUGUCUUGGUCCAUAUACCAUUCGGAUGCAAUUCCAGCUAAACUCUCCCUGAAAUAAGCCAUCAAGAGUUCUUCUUUUUCGCCCGCUCCUCUUAACUGAUUGCAAUACCUUUUCAGGUGGGCUAUGGGGUCUCCAUGUCCAUCAUAUCUUUUAAAUUUUGGAGUCUUAAAACGAUGGGCAGAUGAACAUGAGGGAACAUGAACAAGUCAGCAUAUGAGACACUCUUCUGGCCACUCAGGCCUUGUAUGUUCUUGAGACUUUGUUCUAUGCUUUUAAUUUUCCCAGUGAUCUCUUCUUGCUUGGGAUUCUUUACAGUUCCCUCUUGUCCCGUGGUAAACUCAUACCGAGGUUGUUGAGGGUAGGAGUUUGGGGUGACUUGAGCCGUGUCCGAUUGAAAUGGUGGUAUUUGGAAAGUAAAGGAGGACGGCUCGAAACUUGGCCUAGGCACUGUUGGUUGUGUCAUAGCAAAGGUUGUUGGUGCGGUGAAUAUGUUAGAAAACAUUCCUGAAAUCAUUACCUGGGGGAGAACCUCAGAAGGCGUUGGGGUAAAUUGGUUGACAUAGUGGGAUAUCCGAAUGGGGUGGCCGGGUAGCUUAUAGGGACAUUGGAGGUUCCACUUGUUCUGGGGAUCAGCUCGGAAAAACCAGGUAUUGCGCUGGGCGGCUCCCUACCGUUAGACCAAGCGUCCCACAUUUCCAACAUGCGGAGGCGCAGUACCCUGUUCUCUUCAGUAGUUGCUGACUUUGACGUCGGGAUAACCGACAAUGGGCUAUCCUCUGAGGGGGUAAUUGUUGGUACAUGACUCUCUGACGUCAUUUCGAUAAUUCCUUUGGAUCUUGUAAAAAAGGGUGCGAAGCCAGGUUACCACAAAACCAACCACCUAAAAAACAGAACUUGUUCUCAACAACAUACAUAACAAACCGGUUAGUUUGAGACAAUUUAACACAUAGGAAAUCGCACGUUGGAGAAUGCAAUGCACCUAGACAGUUAAAUGUUUUUCUACAUGUUUUGCAACGGUUGCAUGUCUCAUCCCGAAUUUUGUGACCUCCCAGAUCUUUGAAUCUUUUCUUUUCUUUUGCGCUUUUCAUUAUUUGCUCUCUUUUCUUUGCACUCUCUCUUUUGCAUUGUUUUCCCUCUUAUUCUUGUUUUCUCUCUUUUCCUUGUGUCCUCUUUUCAUCAUUUUCUCUCUUAUUUGAGUUAUUUAUAGCGAUGACCGGAUCCGAUGGGGAUUGCCUACGUAUCACGACGCCGCAUGAAUCAUAUAAUUACAUAGUUUAGGAGAUAAAUGCGAUAAAAGAAAGAAAUAUUUUUUUUUAGUUUUUUCAAAUUUUCAUUAAAAUAAAAACUUCUAAUUUUCUCUAUUACAACGGCUCCAUCUUAAGGACUGAAAAAUAAAAAUAGACUCAAAGCAGACUAACAGACUCUAAAAGAAACUGAAAUACAGACUCAAAAAGAAAAAUCAAAAAUACAUAAGUGCAUCCAAUACUACUCCAGGGGCCUGCGGGACAUCAGUCGGUCUCAACGCAGGCCUACUUGCAAGGUCUCUUUGGAGGCGGUCCAAGUCAUCCAUUAUCUUGUGUGAGCACCUAAUUUUUUCCCCGCAUGGAAAGAACUCCUAAAAAUAGACCAAAAAUAAUUUUAAUUGAUUUUUAGGAGUUUUUCUUUAUUUUUUUUUUGUAGUUCAUGCAUUUUUUAAUAUUUUAAAAUCAUAAAAAAAUCAUGAAAAUUGUCACGUGUUAAUUUCAUGCCAUCUUAGGUUCAAUUUUCAUGUAGGAAUUAAUUUUAUUAAGCAAAAAAUCACAAAAAUGGUCAUUUGUACAUAUUUUGAUUUUAGCCUUCAAAAUUAGCAUUUUUCUUUAGUUUUAAGUUAAUUAGUUAUUUUAAUGUUUAAAAUAUACAAAGAAUUUUAAUUUCUACAAAAAUAGAUUGAUUUAGGAUUUUAAAAUCAAAAAAAAGAAAAAAAAGAAAAAAAAAGGGGGAAAGGCUAUUUUUUGGUCUAAUUCGGACUGGACCAAUUUUCAUGACCCAAUUCUCUCAAAAUCUACCCAAUUCCCACACAAAACCCAAGCACAUCCCCUUUACCCUCAUAUAAUAAAAAGCUACACCUAGACCUAAUGAAGAAAAAAGAGAUUAGACCCCUUCAUCAGAGAAAAAACAACGCAUCUGGGAAUUCUUGCUUCUUCUCCUUUUUUUCAUUUUGACUUCACACACACGAAAGAGGGCUAAAAUUUCACUUGCAUGAAAGAAUCAUCGAAGAAACCUAAUCUGUUUUGAAAUUCAAAAUUUAAGAAGAUUUGAAAUUCACUUGUAGCGAGAAAAAAGUGUUCAGCAACUGAAGCACAUCAGUGAAGAUCUGAAAAUGCAAGGUUCUAAAAAUAAAAGAGAUUUGAGAGGAUCGAUUGAGUCCUGUUGAUUGGCUUUGUGAAUUUUGGGAUUUCAAAAUUGUUUGAACUCUGAAACCUCCUGUUAUUUCACUGUUCCUGCCGGAAAUUAGCAGAUGAGUCCCAACCCUUCUUCUGUCUGGUCUUUAUUUGGCAUUUCUAGUCAAUUCUCACACACAUAGAUAAAUCUUAUGGGGUUGUAAUGAGUUCUCUUGAAACUGGGUUUGCAAUUGUAUUGGAAUCAAGAUAGUAUUUUGGUGCUAUUUCUUUAAGUUUCUGAAUAAGCUAAGCUUGGUAUUCAUCUUCAAAAUAUGGGUCCUGAAUUCAGAUCCCUUCUUCGGUACAUUUUUAUCAUCUAUUUGGCAGCAUCUUUUAUUUUUGCUUUUUUCUUUUUUUGGUUUUGUCUUCCUUAUUUUCUUUAAUUGUGCUCUUUGGAAUUAGCUUAAACUUGUUAAUACUAAACCAAUGUUAUCUCUUGUGAUCAUAUCUUCAGCACGUGAGUGCUCAUUUAGAGUAAGAUUUUGAACAUUCUAUGUGAGUUUCAUAUUGGUUCAAAUGUUGGAUUGUGGUUUUCAAUUAAUUACAUUUUAAUUACUCAAUUACUAGCUCUUCUAAGAAAUUUUCUGUUCCAAGAACUAAGGUCAAUCAAGUUAUGUAGAAUUAAUUGUUAUAUAGUUGAUAUGCUGUAUAGGAAGUAUAUGUGGGGAUUAUAAUGCCAUUCGUAGUAUUGCUUUAGGCACGUAAAUUAACUAUCGUGACUAUGGGUAUGGUUCUCGUGAUAUAGUCAUGGUAUAUAAUCCCCAUUUCGGCCGUGCAUUUCAUGUGAUCCGAUCGUAACAACUUUGAACUUUAAUAAAAAUAAAUAUGUCACGAGCCGCGGGUGCAUUUUAUGUAGUGUGGUUUGCGGUGUGCUCCAAAACGGCAAGUGUACGACAUUCGUAACUUGUUCAAGAAAUAAUUUCAUAAAUCCUAAAAGCGGAUUGAGAUCAUUAAAAGCUAUUAUAAUGUUUAAAAAAUGCACACUAGGUUUCAAAACAUGUAAUAAAUCAGAUAAUUAGGCCAAUUAUUAAUAGUUAAGCGAUCGUGCUAGAACCACGGAACCUAGGAAUGCCUAACACCUUCUUCCGGGUUAACAAAAUUCCUCACCUAGAUUUUCUGGUUUCGCAGACUUUUAAAUAAAGUCGAUUUCCUCGAUUUGGGAUUUAAAACGAACUUAUGACUUGGGACACCCUAAAUUUUCCCAAGUGGCGACUUUGAAAAAGAAAUAAAAUAAUCCCAUUUCGAUUGAUGUCACUUUAAUUGGAAAAAUUCCCUUAUAUACCCCUCUCGAAUGGUAAAAAGGAGGUGUUACAGCUCUGGCGACUCUGCUGGGGAUAAGAACCCAGAACUUUUGGUUCAGGGUUCAAAAUUCGAGCUUAGAAUAGUUGUUAUACUUGUAUUUAUUAUGUGAUUUUUACAUGUUUGAGCCUAAUGUGCUAAAUGCCGCUUUUUAUCGCUUUUGAUAUUGUUUGGAUUGUAUAUAAAUUGUUACCAAACCCUCUUCUCUCUCAGUCUUCUAAAUCAUCUGGGAAGUGUGCACUUUGUGUGACUUCUUUUCUGUUAGAGUCAUAUCCCAAUUUUAGAACGAGGUUCGGUCAAGUUGCAAAGCUAGUGAAGCUUCUGUAUUCCCGGUAUGCUGCCUCCCCCCUCCCCGGCUUGAGCUGUCCGCUCGAGUAAGUCAGGUCUAGAACAAUACACCCAUGUUUUUAAACCUAGAAUAACAUAGCCUCAUGCCGGAUCCCUAAUAGAAACGCGUGUUUGCAUCACGUGCAUUUAACUUUAGGUACUCAACACAAGGGUUGGAUCCGUCUAAGACAGGUGUACCCACAUUAAAAGACCAUCCUGAUGCAUCUUACGUGCUAUUUGCACAUCUGUUUAUUUCGACUUGCAUGUAGAUCGGCUUCUAGAAUAGGGAAAGAAAAUUUAAAAAAAAAAAGAAAAAAAAAACAAGAGUGAGGUAGGUAUUUGGAAAAUUCCGAAACUCUGCCGAAAUUCUGAAAAAGAAAAAAAAGAAAGAAAAGAAAAGUCAUUUCAAAAUGAGCCAAAAUUUUCAACUGCCUUGUUCCGUCAAAACUGACCGAACUACGCGGGUCUGAUUCUCACCAGAUUUGAGAUACGUAGGUAAACCUCAUCGGUUCCGGCCCCAAUUUUUUAAAAAUUGAAAAAUAUUUUCCUUUAAUUCCUUCUUUAGAAAUCUUUCCUUAGAAAAUUCAAAAACAUAAUUUUUUUUAACUCAAAAAAAAGUGAUUUCCUUCUUUCUAAGAAAUUUUGUUUUCCAAGAACUAAGGUCAAUCAAGUUAUGUGGAAUUAAUUGUUAUAUAGUUGAUAUGCUGUAUAGGAAGUAUAUGUGGGGAUUAUAAUGCCUUUCGUAGUAUUGCUUUAGGCGCGUAAAUUAACUAUCGUGACUAUGAGUAUGGUUUCUGUGGCAUAGUCAUGGUAUAUAAUCCCUAAUUCGGGCGUGCAUUUAAUGUGACCCGAUCGUAAAAACUUUGAACUUUAAUAAAAACAAACAUGUCACGAGUUGCAGGUGCAUUUUAUGUAUUGUGGUUUGCGGUAUGCUCCAAAACGGCAAGUGUACGACAAUCGUAACUUGUUCAAGAAAUAAUUUCAUAAAUCCUAAAAGUGGGUUGAGAUCAUUAAAAGCUAUUAUAAAGUUUAAAAAAUGCACACUAGGUUUUAAAACAUGUAAUAAAUCAGAUAAAUAGGCCAAUUAUUAAUAGUUAAGCGAUCGUGUUAGAACCACGGAACCCAGGAAUGCCUAACACCUUCUUCCGGGUUAACAGAAUUCCUUACCUAGAUUUUCUGGUUUGGCAAACUUUUAAAUAAAGUUGAUUUCCUCGAUUUGGAAUUUAAAACGAACUUGUGACUUGGGACACCCUAAAUUAUCCCUAGUGGCGACUCUGAAAAGAAAUAAAAUAAUCCCAUUUCGAUUUAUGUCACUUUAGAUGGAAAAAAUUCCCUUAUAUACCCCCUCUCGGGUAGUAAAAAAGAGGUGUUACAGCUCUGGCGACUCUGCUGGGGUUAAGAACCCAGAACUUUUGGUUCAGGGUUCAGAAUUCGAGCUUAGAAUAGCUGUUAUACUUGGCUUUAUUAUGUGUUUUACAUGUUUGAGCCCAAUGUGCUAAAUGUUGCUUUUUACCGUUUUGAUAUUGUUUAGACUGUAUAUAAAUUGUUACGAAACCCUCUUCUCUCUGAGUCUUCUAAAUCAUCUCGGAAAUGUGCACUUUGUGUUACUUCUUUUCUGUUAGAGUCAUAUCCCAAUUUUAGAACGAGGUUCGGUCAAGUUGCAAAGCCGGUGAAGCUUCUGUAUUUCGGAUACACUCCCCCCUCCUCGGCUUGAGCUAUCCGCUCGGGUAAGCCAGGUCUAGAACAAUACACCCAGGUUUUUAAACCUAGAAUAAUAUAGCCUAAUGCCGGAUCACUAGUAGGAACGCUUGUUUUCAUCACGUGCAUUUGACUUUGGGGAUUCAACACAGGGGUUGCGUCCGUCUAGGAUAGGUGUACCCACAUUAUAAGACCAUCCUGAUGCAUCUUACGUGCUACUUGCACAUCUGUUUAUUUCGACAUGCAUGUUGACCGGUUUCUAGAAUAGGGAAUGAAAAUUUAAAAAGAAAAAAGAAAAAAGAAAAAAAACAAGAGUGAGGUAGGUAUUUGGAAAAUUCCGAAACUCUGCCGAAAUUCUGGAAAAAAAAAGAAAGAAAAGAAAAGUCAUUCCAAAAUGAGCCAAAAUUUUCAACUGCCUUGUUUCCCUUGUUCUGUCAAAACUGACCAAACUACGCGGGUCUGAUUCUCAUCGGAUUUGAGAUACGUAGGCAAACCUCAUCGGUUCCGGCCCCAAUUUUUAAAAAAUCCAAAAAUACUUUAGAAAUCUUUCCUUAGAAAAUUCAAAAAAAGAAGUUUUUUUUUAAACUCCAAAAAAGUGAUUUCCUUCUUUCUGAAGUCUUUCAUACGGAAAAAAGAAAUAAAAAGAAAAAAAAUCAAAAUCAAAAAAAACUAUCAAAAUCCAAAAUACGGGUUUCCUUUCUUUUGACGUAUUUUUUCAAAAACAAAUUUUAAAAAAAAAGGAAUCGAAAAAAUAUAUUCUUUUCUUUCUUCCGUAAAUGUAAAAAAAAUUGAAAAAUUGAAGUUCAAAAAUAUUUUCGCUUUUCUUUAGAAGUACUUUUGUAAAUAAAUAAAAAACUUAGAAAUCCAAAACAUUUUCUUAAAAGUCCCUCUUUCAAAAAUUAAGAGGCAACAUCCAAAAUCAAAAAAUAUUUUCUUUCUUCUUUAGAAAAAGAAAAAACAAAUGAAAAUUCAAACAAAAAUAUUUUCUUUUUACUUUUAAAAUUCCCAAAGUUCAAAUCAAAAGAAAAGGAAUUUUUUAGAAGUCUUCCNNNNNNNNNNNNNNNNNNNNNNAAAGAAAAGAGGUACAUACUGAAAGGGUUAGUUAAGGCCGGGAUGAAACAUGUAACCGUUCAAACACAUGGUAGAAGCGUUUAACUGUUAGGUGCAUUGCAUCCGAACGUGCGAUUUCUUAUAUGUUAAAUGUUUCAAAACUAUCAAGGUUGUUGGGUGUACAAAUUAGCCAGGUUCUGUUCAGGUGGAUGGUUUUGUUGGUAAUCUAGUUUCCCACAUUUACUUCACAACAAAGGAAAGGUUCCUAUGGCCUCUGAAAGCGAUCUACAAAUCAUCGAUCUUGAGGAUAGCCUGGAACCGGCUAUUCCACAACCAGAAUCAGCAGUUGCUGAAGAGAAUAGGAUGUUGCGUCUUCGCAUAUUGAAAAUGUAGGACGCCUGGUCUAAUGGUAGGGAACCGCCAAGUGCAAUCCCUGUGUUCCCUAAGUUGAUCCCCAGGUCAGGUGAGGUUACCAACGCCCCUGUGCCUAACUCGCUCAUCCCAUGCGGGCACCCUCCAAUGCCGUCCAAUAUUCCUUGCAUGCCUUCUGUGGUUUGCCCCCAGGUGCCAGUUUCCAUGGCACCUCCAAUAUUGUUCUCUAUAGCACCAGUCUGCACCAGAGCACAACCAACUUUAUCACGGCCGUAUAUUGAGCCUCCAAUGUUCACCUUUCUGGGUCCACAGCUUCAAUUAGAAAUAAUAUAUGUGACCCCAUACUGUUUCACUCAACCUCCGCAAUAUGAUCUCUUGGUAGAGCAAGAAAAGGUUGUUAAAAAUCCCGAGCAAGAGGAAAUGGCUCGGAAGAUGAGGAGCCUGGAUCAAAGCCUGAAACACAUGCAAGGUCUGAGUGGCCAAAAGAGUGUCUCAUACUCUCACCUCUGUAUGCUUCCCCAUGUCCACUUGCCAGCUGGUUUCAAGAUGCCCAAAUUUAAAAAGUACGAUGGGCAUGGAGACCCGAUCGCUCACCUGAAAUGAUAUUGUAACCAGUUGAGAGGUGUUGGAGGAAAAGAGGAGUUACUUAUGGCCUAUUUUUUGGAAAGCCUCACCGGAACCGCUUCUGAGUGGUAUACGGAUCAAGAAAUUACUCAUUGGCACGUGUGAGAUGAUAUGGCCAGAGAAUUCUACCAGUUCUAAUAUAAUGUGGACAUCGCCCCCGACAGAAACACUUUGUCCAAUUUGAAAAAGAAAAUCGCGGAAAGCUUCUGCGUGAAUAUGCAGUCAAAUGGCGUGAGCAAACUGCUAGGGUAAAGCCUCCAAUGGACAAAUUUGAAAUGGUCGCUGUCUUUUUAUAGGCCCAAGAGGUGGACUACUUCCAGAAAAUGAUGUCCACUAUAGGAAAGCCAUUUGCUGAGGCUAUCAAAAUUAGGGAGAUGGUAGAAAGUGGGGUAAAAACGGGUCGAAUUUUGAGUCUUGCUGAUUUUAAAGCCACAUCACCAGAUGUUCAAAAUGAUUCAGAGGGUUUGAGAAAUGGAAACGGGAGAGAAGAAGGAGCCAUGAUGGCUUCCAGCUCGAGAGGGACCCGCAGGUCAUUCAACCAAUUAUAUAUGCUUUCUGAGGUCCCUCAACAUUAUUAUCCCCUUCAAGAUGCUGCUUAUGCCAUGGCACCACCUCCUUAUGUGGUGAUGAACGCGCAACCUUACAUGCGGUCACAACAUCAUACACAAAACCGAGCUCCACCUCCCAUAAAUGCUCAUCCUUACCAAGCUCUAUAUAAUCCUCAACCAAAUGAUCCCCAAUACAAUCCUCGCCCGAGAGAGCCUUUCAGAAAGAAUCAAUUCACGCCUAUUGGUGAAUCGUAUUCAAGCUUGUUCCAAAAGCUAAUCAGGCUAAAUCUAUUGCAGUCAGUGGCCCCUGAAUUAGCCAAACCUCGAGUCCCAAUCGCACCGAGCUGAUGCUAGGUGUGAAUACCAUUCUGGAGCAGUGGGACACAAUAGAGGACUGUUGGACCCUCAAAAGGGUAGUUGAAGAUUUGAUUGAAGCUGAAAGAAUUAUUUUUCAGGAUGAAGAAGCUCCUGAUGUGAUGAACAAUCUGUUGCCUGCCCACAACAAUGGGCCAAUAGUCGGAAUGAUUCGCAAAGUUGAGGAAUUUUAUCCGGCACUGAAGGCCAUUGCAGCCAUUGCUGAGAUAGAAGAAAAGCCAAAAAAUGGUUGUCAGGCAUGAAAGUUCCCCAUCAGACGGGAGUCUUAGUAGUCAGUCUUGCUAUCCUUUUUGCGUCCGGAUUAUCUCAGGAUGUCAUCCGAAUGUUUUACUUUAUUGUCUUACUUUCCGAUGUCAAUCCUUCUAUUUUAAAAAAUUAAAAAAAAUCAAAAAAAAAAUAAAAAAUAAAAAAAUCAAAUGAAAUUAAUAUUUCAUUGUCCGGGAAUGUCUCGUUUCUUAAUUUCACAUUUCUUAUUCUCUUUUUAGUGUUAUUAAAUGCAGAUUUCAAUAACAUGACAUGCUUGCGGACUUCAUGCCCAGAUCCGGAAACGCUGUCAGACCUCGAAAUAAUGAAUCAAGAAUUAGAUCGCGAUGAAGAAAAGUUUAAGAACAUAAAACAAAGAGUUGGAACAGCUGAAUGAAAAUUGGUUCCAGAUUGGAAAGGUCCAUACUUUGCGACAAGAGUACUUCCAAAAGAGUGCGUGGUACUUGGGACACAUAGAAGGAAAUGUCCAUGUAACAAUUGUCAAUGUAAAUGCAACCAAAAUAUACUAUGUUUGAUCCUCCAUAUAGUAUUAAUAUUUUUCGGUUGGGAUGACUAAGGCUUUCAUUCUCGCUACCCAAACACCAUUAACCCUUUUUUGUAAACCAUUUGAGCUGGUUACUCUUCUUUGAUUACCCUCUUCUGAACCUGAAAGUGUUAUUGAAAAAAAAACUGAAAAAUGAGGAAAAGGAAAGGAAAAAAAGAGGAAAAGGAAAGGAAAAAGAAAGAGAAAACAAAAACAAAGUUUCCUGAACUACGUUCGACUUGAUUCCGAAAGGAUACGUAGGCAGCCCCUCACUGGGGAUUCAGUCACACCAAAACAAAAAUCCAAAUUCCCCAAAAGUUGAAACUGGGGCAGAAGUUAUAAUGGUUCGGCGAUGGUUUCGCCAGAAAGGUUCAAAAGUUGUAAUUCAAUCCAAAUUCUUUUUACCCCAAAUCAUGUUCAAGUCCUUCCGAUCAAUCAAUGAGAAUGUUCAAGGAUCGAAGAAUGCAGUUACUUGGAUCCGGAGCAAUCAAAAUGAGAGAAAUAAAAUGAGAGAGUCUUAUUGGUGAAAACCCACACGGGCACCGUAAGGCGAUGGUGAGCAGAGAAAUUUAAAAUGAGAGAGUCUUGUUAGUGAAAACUUGCAAAAAGCACUAUAAGGCGAUGGUGAGAAGAGAAAUGAGAGAGAUCAGCUCGUGAAAACCCGCAAAGGGCGCCCCUAAUCGAAAAAAGGAUCCUCGCAACCAUCAGUAUCAACAGAGUCCUGGCAAGGUUCCUGGGUUUCAAGGAAAGUUGUGAUGAAUUUCGGGUUCCUGAUGACCUUUCCGGCAUAACCCGAUGACUUCCCCGGCAUAACUCGAGGACCUUUCUGGCAUAACCCGAUGACUUCCCCGGCAUCACCCGAGGACCUUUCCGGCAUAACCUGAUGACUUUCCAGGCAUAACCCGAGAAUUUUUCCGGCAUAACUCGAUGAUUUUUCCAGCAUAACCUGGUAAUUUUUUCCAACAUAGGGUUCCAUUCCCUAGCUGAUGCCAUCAUAACCUAGUAAUCUUUUCCAACAUAGGAUCCCACACCCUAGCUUUGCCAGUAUAACCUGGUGAUCUUUUUCAGCACAGGGUCCCAUUCCUUAGUUGAUGCCAGCAUAACCUGGUAAUCUUUCCAACUUAGGACCUCCGAUUUCCAUUUGAUUUCAUUUUAGAUAUAGGGCUCUACUCCCUAAUCUCUUUUCUCCCAAGGAUAAGCAAUCCUGAUUUUAUUGCUUUCAAUAAAGGGGUAGUUUAUAUUUCUGUUACAAUAACUCACGAAAUUUUCCUAGUGAAAACUGGGGCAGAAAAUUUCGUUUGUUUGUUUGUUUUGGUUCCUAAGCAGGUUUUUACCUUGAGGCACAAGUUUCAAGGAGACCAAAAGAAGAAGUCUUGAUUCAAAUAAAAGAAAAGAAAAACAAGAAAAGAAAAACAAGAAAAGAAGUGAGCUCUAAGUGUAGAAGCGGAGAAAAAAUGCGGACUACUCAAGAUAUGAUUGAAGUCACAAGCUUUGCAUGUCCCGCCUUGUUCCGAAAAGCUGAAGAAGAAUAAACCAACGAUUAUAGCAAACGAGUAUCAUGAUUCAGAUAAGAGUUUGUAGGAAGAACCAGCCAAGACUCAAGAUCAAGUUUAGCUUUUUAUUUUUAUUUUGGUGUAAUAAGGAGCUCAGCAAGCAGAAACAGCAGCAACAGCAGUGGAAUCACAGUUUCUUGAUAGUCCCAACUACCAAAACUUCCAGAACUACACCAACCUGGUUCCUUUAUAGCCAAGGAUAUGUAUGCAACCUCCGAAGCAAGGUUCGGUCAAACUUUUUCAAAAUACUUCCAAAUGGAGUUUCAAACGAGCAAAAAUUGCUCGUAGUUGCUCAAUUUAUCUUUGCCCAAAAACUCUUCAUGUUUCCGAGCAAAGAGGGGCAACUGUGAGCACCUAAUUUUUGCCCCGCAUGGAAAUCACUCCUAGAAAUAGACCAAAAAUAAUUUUAAAUGAUUUUUAGGAGUUUUUCUUUAUUUAGUAGCAUUUCAUGCAUUUUUAAUAUUUUAAAAUCAAAGAAAAAUCAUAAAAAUUAUCACGUUUUAAUUUCAUGCCAUCUUAGGUUCAAUUUGCAUGUAGGAAUUAAUUUUAUUAAGCAAAUAAUCACAAAAAAUGGUCGUUUUUACAUAUUUAGAUUUUAGCCUUUAAAAUUAGCAUUAUUCUUUAGUUUUAAGUUAAUUAGUUGUUUUAAUAUUAAAAUAGAUAUAAAAUUUUAAUUUCUACAGAAAUAGAUUGAUUUAGGAUUUUAAAAUCAAAAAAAGAAAACAAAGAAAUAAAAAGGGGGAAAAGGCUAUUUUUGUUCUAAAUUUGGGCUGGGCCAAUUUUCAUGGCCCAAUUCCCUCAAAAUCCACCCAAUUCCCACACACAACCCAAGCCCAUCCCCUUUACCCUCAUCUGAUAAAAAGCUAGACCUAGACCUAACGAAGAAAAAAGAGACCAAACCCCUUCAUCAGAGAAAAAACGGCGCAUCUGGGAAUUCUUGCUUCUUCUUCAUUUUUACAUUUUGACUUCACACAUACAAAAUAGUGCUAAAAUUCACUCACAUGAAAGAAGCAUCAAAGAAACCUAAUCCGUUUUGAAAUUCAAAAUUUAAGAAGAUUUGAAAUUCACUAGUAGCGAGAAAAAAGCGUUCAGCAGCUGAAGCACAUUAGUGAAGAUCUGAAAAUGCAAGGUUCUAAAAAUGAAAGAGAUUUGAGAGGAUCGAUUGAGUCCUGUUGAUUGGCUUUGUGAAUUUGGGGAUUUCAAAACUUUUCGAACUCUGAAACCUCCUGUUAUUUCACUGUUCCUGCCGGAAAUUAGCAGCUGAGUCCCAACCCUUCUUCUGUCUAGUCUUUAUUUGGCGUUUCUAGUCAAUUCUCGCACACAUAGAAAAAUCUUAUGGGGUUGUAAUAAGUUCUCUUGAAACUGAAUUUGCAAUUUUAUUGGAAUCAAGAUGGGAAUUUGGCGCUCUUUCUUUGAGUUUCUAAAUAAGCUAAGCUUGGUAUUCAUCUUCAAAAUAUGGGUCCUGAAUUCAGAUCCCUUCUUCAAUAUAUUUUUAUUAUCUAUUUGGCAGCAUCUUUUAUUUUUACUUUUUUCUCUUUUGGUUUUAUCUUCAUUAUUUUCUUUUAUUGUGCUCUUUUGAAUUAGCUUAAACUUGUUAAUACUAAACCAAUGUUAUUUCUUGCGAUCAUAUUUUCAUCACGUGAGUGCUCAUUCAAAGUAAGUUUUUAAACAUUUUAUGUGAGUUUCUUAUUGGUUCGAAUGUUUGAUUAUGGUUUUCAAUUAAUUACCUUUUAAUUACUCAAUUACUAGCUCUUCUAAGAAAUUU